Molecule: ribosomal RNA, 301 nt
Filed under: uncultured bacterium
Lineage: Bacteria
Description: partial 16S ribosomal RNA
Rfam family: Bacterial small subunit ribosomal RNA
Source: RNAcentral
CAGUCGCCGCGGUAAUACGUAGGUGGCAAGCGUUGUCCGGAAUUAUUGGGCGUAAAGCGCGCGCAGGCGGAUAGGUCAGUCUGUCUUAAAAGUUCGGGGCUUAACCCCGUGAUGGGAUGGAAACUGCCAAUCUAGAGUAUCGGAGAGGAAAGUGGAAUUCCUAGUGUAGCGGUGAAAUGCGUAGAUAUUAGGAAGAACACCAGUGGCGAAGGCGACUUUCUGGACGAAAACUGACGCUGAGGCUCGAAAGCCAGGGGAGCGAACGGGAUUAGAUACCCGGGUAGUCCCUGUCUCUUAUACC